GCCUCGGUAACUCAGCCUGGAUAGAGUGUCAGCCUUCUAAGCUGAAAGUCGCAGGUUCGAAUCCUGUCCGGGGCA
RNAcentral lists this transfer RNA (75 nucleotides) under archaeon. RNAcentral's name for it is "tRNA-Arg". It matches the Rfam family "tRNA". From Rfam's summary of the family: Transfer RNA (tRNA) molecules are approximately 80 nucleotides in length. Their secondary structure includes four short double-helical elements and three loops (D, anti-codon, and T loops). The record is from RNAcentral.